Suricata suricatta (meerkat) is the source of this 573-nucleotide long non-coding RNA. RefSeq lists it as uncharacterized. The record is from RefSeq and is a predicted model, not a curated record. The transcript is spliced from 2 exons. Lineage: Eukaryota; Metazoa; Chordata; Mammalia; Carnivora; Herpestidae.
CAUGCCCAAAAUUGCCCUCAAGCAACUGAAAUGCAGCCUGAUAUGAGUAUCUAUAAAAUGAUAAGACUGCUUAGCCCAGAAAGGGAUGAGAACAAAGUCAGCAUCUUCAUUAGGAACUCAUGUUUGUAAUAUCCACUAAACAAGGCAUAAGGAUUAGACUCUCUGGAAUGUUAAAACUUCAACAAGGAGAUGAGGCUGUGUGUCUAUCUUCUGCCUACACUGAUCACCGCCCAAGUCUCUAGUGUCUGGAACAGAGUCACACCUACAGCUUCAAGGUCUACUUGCUCUGAGAAUACAAUCAAGUUGGAAUGGGGCUGGAUAAAACACGUCUAUGGAUUUAUUAUGGAGACAAGAACUUCAAAGGCCAGGAAUGAAGGAAACUACUUGCCCCACAUGAGUCAAUAAUACAACAGUACUCCAAGCAGGUGUUUUCCUACAUCAUCCAUCACUGAGGCUAGAUAGGGAGAAAACUGAGCUUGUUCUUUCUGCAACAUAGAGAGAGACCUAUGGGUAAUAUUUUUAUUUCCUGGAUUUUUAAAGGUGGUGUCAAUAAAUGUUUAGACAUGUCUCUGA